This 213-nucleotide ribosomal RNA is filed under the name Priestia flexa. RNAcentral describes it as "Bacillus flexus partial 16S ribosomal RNA". It matches the Rfam family "Bacterial small subunit ribosomal RNA", at positions 555 to 767 of the family's 1533-position model. Lineage: Bacteria; Bacillati; Bacillota; Bacilli; Caryophanales; Bacillaceae. The record is from RNAcentral.
UGGGCGUAAAGGGCGCGCAGGCGGUUUCUUAAGUCUGAUGUGAAAGCCCCCGGCUCUUCCGUGGAGGGUCAUUGGAAACUGGGGAACUUGAGUGCCCAUAAGAAAAGCGGAAUUCCCCGUGUAGCGGUGAAAUGCGUAAAGAUGUGGAGGAAACCCCUUGGGGAAGGGGGCUUUUUGGUUUGUAACUGACCUUGAGGGCCGAAAACGGGGGGG